UUUAUGGAGAGUUUGAUCCUGGCUCAGGAUGAACGCUGGCGGCGUGCCUAAUACAUGCAAGUCGAGCGAACGGACGAGAAGCUUGCUUCUCUGAUGUUAGCGGCGGACGGGUGAGUAACACGUGGAUAACCUACCUAUAAGACUGGGAUAACUUCGGGAAACCGGAGCUAAUACCGGAUAAUAUUUUGAACCGCAUGGUUCAAAAGUGAAAGACGGUCUUGCUGUCACUUAUAGAUGGAUCCGCGCUGCAUUAGCUAGUUGGUAAGGUAACGGCUUACCAAGGCAACGAUGCAUAGCCGACCUGAGAGGGUGAUCGGCCACACUGGAACUGAGACACGGUCCAGACUCCUACGGGAGGCAGCAGUAGGGAAUCUUCCGCAAUGGGCGAAAGCCUGACGGAGCAACGCCGCGUGAGUGAUGAAGGUCUUCGGAUCGUAAAACUCUGUUAUUAGGGAAGAACAUAUGUGUAAGUAACUGUGCACAUCUUGACGGUACCUAAUCAGAAAGCCACGGCUAACUACGUGCCAGCAGCCGCGGUAAUACGUAGGUGGCAAGCGUUAUCCGGAAUUAUUGGGCGUAAAGCGCGCGUAGGCGGUUUUUUAAGUCUGAUGUGAAAGCCCACGGCUCAACCGUGGAGGGUCAUUGGAAACUGGAAAACUUGAGUGCAGAAGAGGAAAGUGGAAUUCCAUGUGUAGCGGUGAAAUGCGCAGAGAUAUGGAGGAACACCAGUGGCGAAGGCGACUUUCUGGUCUGUAACUGACGCUGAUGUGCGAAAGCGUGGGGAUCAAACAGGAUUAGAUACCCUGGUAGUCCACGCCGUAAACGAUGAGUGCUAAGUGUUAGGGGGUUUCCGCCCCUUAGUGCUGCAGCUAACGCAUUAAGCACUCCGCCUGGGGAGUACGACCGCAAGGUUGAAACUCAAAGGAAUUGACGGGGACCCGCACAAGCGGUGGAGCAUGUGGUUUAAUUCGAAGCAACGCGAAGAACCUUACCAAAUCUUGACAUCCUUUGACAACUCUAGAGAUAGAGCCUUCCCCUUCGGGGGACAAAGUGACAGGUGGUGCAUGGUUGUCGUCAGCUCGUGUCGUGAGAUGUUGGGUUAAGUCCCGCAACGAGCGCAACCCUUAAGCUUAGUUGCCAUCAUUAAGUUGGGCACUCUAAGUUGACUGCCGGUGACAAACCGGA
RNAcentral lists this ribosomal RNA (1185 nucleotides) under Staphylococcus aureus. RNAcentral's name for it is "bacterial SSU rRNA". It matches the Rfam family "Bacterial small subunit ribosomal RNA", at positions 1 to 1167 of the family's 1533-position model. The record is from RNAcentral. Lineage: Bacteria; Bacillati; Bacillota; Bacilli; Caryophanales; Staphylococcaceae.